Molecule: ribosomal RNA, 450 nt
Filed under: uncultured bacterium
Lineage: Bacteria
Description: partial 16S ribosomal RNA
Rfam family: Bacterial small subunit ribosomal RNA
Source: RNAcentral
GUGGGGAAUCUUCCACAAUGGACGAAAGUCUGAUGGAGCAACGCCGCGUGAGUGAAGAAGGGUUUCGGCUCGUAAAGCUCUGUUGUCGGGGACGAAUGUGCAGUAUUUGAAUAAAGUACUGCAAUGACGGUACCUGACGAGGAAGCCACGGCUAACUACGUGCCAGCAGCCGCGGUAAUACGUAGGUGGCAAGCGUUGUCCGGAAUUAUUGGGCGUAAAGGGAGCGCAGGCGGGAAGGUAAGUCGGUCUUAAAAGUGCGGGGCUCAACCCCGUGAUGGGAUCGAAACUAUCUUUCUUGAGUGCAGGAGAGGAAAGUGGAAUUCCUAGUGUAGCGGUGAAAUGCGUAGAUAUUAGGAGGAACACCAGUGGCGAAGGCGGCUUGCUGGGCCAUUACUGACGCUGAGACACGAAAGCGUGGGGAGCAAAUAGGAUUAGAAACCCGUGUAGUCC